RNAcentral lists this ribosomal RNA (440 nucleotides) under uncultured bacterium. Its description in RNAcentral is "partial 16S ribosomal RNA". It matches the Rfam family "Bacterial small subunit ribosomal RNA", at positions 338 to 795 of the family's 1533-position model. The record is from RNAcentral.
CCUACGGGUGGCUGCAGUGGGGGAUAUUGCACAAUGGGGGAAACCCUGAUGCAGCGACGCCGCGUGGGUGAAGAAGCGCCUCGGCGCGUAAAGCCCUGUCAGCAGGGAAGAAAAUGACGGUACCUGAAGAAGAAGCCCCGGCUAACUACGUGCCAGCAGCCGCGGUAAUACGUAGGGGGCAAGCGUUAUCCGGAUUUACUGGGUGUAAAGGGGGCGCAGACGGCGAUGCAAGCCAGGAGUGAAAGCACGGGGCCCAACCACGGGACUGCUCUUGGGACUGCGUGGCUAGAGUGCAGGAGGGGCAGGCGGAAUUCCUGGUGUAGCAGUGAAAUGCGUAGAUAUCAGGAGGAACACCGGUGGCGAAGGCGGCCUGCUGGACUGCAACGGACGUUGAAGCCCGAAAGCGUGGGGAGCAAACAGGAUUAGAUACCCCAGUAGUC